This 432-nucleotide ribosomal RNA is filed under the name uncultured Lachnospiraceae bacterium. RNAcentral describes it as "partial 16S ribosomal RNA". It matches the Rfam family "Bacterial small subunit ribosomal RNA", at positions 341 to 792 of the family's 1533-position model. Lineage: Bacteria; Bacillati; Bacillota; Clostridia; Lachnospirales; Lachnospiraceae. The record is from RNAcentral.
ACGGAAGGCAGCAGUGGGGGAUAUUGCACAAUGGGGGAAACCCUGAUGCAGCGACGCCGCGAGUGAAGAAGUAUUUCGGUAUGUAAAGCUCUAUCAGCAGGAAAGAUAAUGACGGUACCUGACUAAGAAGCACCGGCUAAAUACGUGCCAGCAGCCGCGGUAAUACGUAUGGUGCAAGCGUUAUCCGGAUUUACUGGGUGUAAAGGGAGCGCAGACGGCAUGGCAAGCCAGAUGUGAAAGGCAGGGGCUCAACCCCUGGACUGCAUUUGGAACUGUCAAGCUAGAGUAUCGGAGAGGUAGGUGGAAUUCCUAGUGUAGCGGUGAAAUGCGUAGAUAUUAGGAGGAACACCAGUGGCGAAGGCGGCUUACUGGACGAUAACUGACGUUGAGGCUCGAAAGCGUGGGGAGCAAACAGAAUUAGAUACCCUGGUA